This is a long non-coding RNA of Olea europaea var. sylvestris, 734 nucleotides long. RefSeq lists it as uncharacterized. The record is from RefSeq and is a predicted model, not a curated record. The transcript is spliced from 2 exons. NCBI's taxonomy places the organism in Eukaryota, Viridiplantae, Streptophyta, Magnoliopsida, Lamiales, Oleaceae.
GGUAAAGAAAUAAAUGUUUCGUAAUAUAAUGUAUAUUAAAUUUUCUAGAUUUCUAAAUGGUUGGUUUAAUUUCAGAUUUAAGGGAAAAGUAUGGUUUCAAGCCAAUAUUUUUUGAUUUGUGAAAGAUUUUGGUAUCAAGGUAGUGACGUGAAAGUUGGGCAAGGCCUGUAAAUUUAACCAGAUUGCAAUACAUAGAUCUGUGAGUGGAGACCUUUCAAAAAGAAAAUUUUAUUUUUAUUUUAUAGAAGCAUAAUAAUUACAUGAAUAUCUUAUUUUCGAGAAAUUAGUAAAUGAGCAUGAUUAUUUUGCAAUCAUCAAAAAAUAACUAAUGUAAUUACCUUAAUCUUAUACACUAAGGGGCUACGGCCGUGUACUAGAGUCAUGUAUUUAACUCCUAUACACUGAGGGGCUAUGGUCGUGUAUAAGGAUGAUUAUGUUGUUUCCAUUGUGUACACUAAGGGUCUACUGUCGUGUACUAGAGUCAUGUAUCUAACUCCUAUACACCGAGGGGCUACAACCGUAUGUAAGGGUAACUCUUAUCCACUGAGGGGCUACGGCCAUGUGUAAGGGUACCUAUUAUAUAGUGAGGGGCUACAGCCGUGUAUAAGAAUGAUUAUAUUGUUUUCAUCUUGUACAUUGAGGGGUUACGGCUGUGUACAGAGUGUUGAUCAGAUGGUUUAUUUGCAUAUGACUUUAUAGCUUUUAGUUCAUUCAGUUGAUGUGAAUUUUAUGUA